Molecule: small nucleolar RNA, 84 nt
Organism: Cricetulus griseus (Chinese hamster)
Lineage: Eukaryota; Metazoa; Chordata; Mammalia; Rodentia; Cricetidae
Source: Ensembl
AUCAGGAUUGUCAAUGGUAUAUUCCUUUCAGAACUGAAUCUAUGUAAUUUAGCAAAAAUUUACCCCAGCCACUGAGACAGCGAG